Molecule: non-coding RNA, 738 nt
Organism: Prunus mume (Japanese apricot)
Lineage: Eukaryota; Viridiplantae; Streptophyta; Magnoliopsida; Rosales; Rosaceae
Source: RefSeq, a predicted model, not a curated record
CCAAAAAAAAAAAACCUUUCAGGAACAUGUCACCUAAAUCUGGUCACUCUUCUUAUACCCACAAGGUGCUUCCCUUCAAUUUAUCUUCUGUUUUUGGGUCAAAUUUUUUAUUUUUGAUUUUUGAACCAGGGAUUCAAAGAUGGGAUGUCUCGAAUUUGAAUCUGGGAUUUGAAACGUCGAGGCAUUCUUCAGGUAUUUCUGUAUUCUCGAGAGGUUUGAAGCUGGGUUUGCAGGCUUGGUGUUCUUGAAAUGUUCUGCCAUUCAGGGUUCUUUAGUGGGAAAAACUAAAUGACCCUCGGGUGCUAACUGAUGUCAGUGAUGUUCCUGUUCAAAUGGAGUCGAAGAUGAGAGACUGAUGAAUGUCAUAAAUGAGUCUGUCAAGCUUGUGAUGGAACAGAAGUGUACUUUGAAGCUGAGCUGGUACAAUUCAUAAUGCUUAGAUGUAUAGUACCCUGUCUGCAAUGUGAUGCAUUUUCAGGCCUCAGAUUUGAACACUGAAGAAAACUUUUCAGAAAACUUCAUUGUGCAUUACUGGACUCGGAAUUGAGACUCCAUUGUACUGAUUAUAAGUUAUAACGACACUUUUCAGAAACAUAAAAUUCUUCUCAACAAAAUGUUCCUGAAAUAAUCAUUAGUUCACUGGAAUACUUUUGAGUUUGUGUCAUUAUUCACCGAGAAUUGUCAUUUUUGUGAAAUGUUAAAUUUAGUGCAGAUGGCAUUUAGCCAAUAUCUCAUAAA